RNAcentral lists this ribosomal RNA (637 nucleotides) under uncultured marine haptophyte. RNAcentral describes it as "bacterial SSU rRNA". It matches the Rfam family "Bacterial small subunit ribosomal RNA", at positions 543 to 1189 of the family's 1533-position model. The record is from RNAcentral. Lineage: Eukaryota; Haptophyta.
AUCCGGAAUCAUUGGGCGUAAAGCGCCUGUAGGUUGUUUAAUAAGUCUGUUGUUAAAGACUAGGGCUCAACCCUAGAAAAGCAAUGGAAACUAUUAGACUAGAGUAUGGGAGGGGUAGAGGGAAUUUCUAGGGUAGCGGUGAAAUGGGUAGAUCUUAGAAAGAACACCGGUGGCGAAAGCGCUCUACUGGACCAUUACUGACACUGAGAGGGGAAAGCUAGGGGAGCGAAAGGGAUUAGAUACCCCUGUAGUCCUAGCCGUAAACGAUGGAUACUAGAUGUUGUGCAAUUUGGACAGUAUCGUAGCUAACGCGUUAAGUAUCCCGCCUGGGGAGUACGCUCGCAAGGGUGAAACUCAAAGGAAUUGACGGGGGCCUUCACAAGCGGGGGAGCAUGUGGUUUAAUUCGAUGGAGCGCGAAGAACCUUACCAGGGCUUGACAUACUACAGAUUCUUUAGAGAUAGAGAAGUGCCUUCGGGAAUGUAGAUACAGGUGGUGCAUGGCUGUCGUCAGCUCGUGUCGUGAGAUGUUGGGUUAAGUCCCCAACGAGCGCAACCCUUAUUUUUAGUUACCAAUUCGUUGGGUUCUCUAGAAAGACUGCCGGUGACAAACCGGAGGAAGGUGAGGAUGACGUCAAG